Molecule: long non-coding RNA, 1206 nt
Filed under: Sparus aurata (gilthead seabream)
Lineage: Eukaryota; Metazoa; Chordata; Actinopteri; Spariformes; Sparidae
Description: lncRNA (ENSSAUG00010002789.1)
Source: RNAcentral
AACAAGUACAUUUGAAAUCAUUUGAAAACAUACAUUCAAACAGUGAUCAGGACGUUAAGGUUGUCCACCUCCAGCUGCAAGUCUUAUAUUACUUUAAUCACUAAUAAAAACAUUUACCGUCUGUGUCACUAAUCAAUCAUCUUUCAUUGAUCUUUUCCAAACCUCAAAGGGAAGGAAACACAAUUGUUGAGUUUGAGGCAGCAGUCCACGUCAGAUUAAACACUUCUCAACUUCAAAAACUAGUGUAUGACCUGGAGGGGAGUCUUACUGGAAAACUUAAGGUCGACACUUCAGGAAUGGUCAACAUAGAGUCCCCCAAUUCAACAGUGUGCUAUGAGUCCACUCCAACUCUGAAAUGCAAAUUUGAGGAGGAGACGGACAGCGCCGUCUGGAGCAUGAGCACCCAGCACCAGCGCUUUCAGCUCAACACUGGCAUUGUUGUAGAACUGAUCAACAACUGUGCGAAUGAGACAUACAAGUCCUGCACUGGAGUCAUACUCAAGAAAGUGACAGAAAUCUGGUCAGGCACAUACGAGUGUGGAUUCACUCGCGGCUCGCUCACACACAAAGCCAAGACCAGAAUGAGAGUGGCACUCCUCCCUGACGUGAUCACCAUGAAGAUCGACCCUCUUACUGCAGACUGCUCGAAGAAGCUUGAAUCUGCUUCUAUUGAUGUUGACGUCACUGCCACCAUCUUAAACUCCUCUGAGAGCUUUAAGGUUUCAUGGAGCUACAUGAACAAACCUCUGCAUGAUCUAUCUAACAGAACUGAUGGAGAUUUUCUGAUCUAUGAAUUCAAGGCUCCGAUCAGCUGUGUGAAAAUCGAGGAAGCACAAACUAUUACUGUCACCUUUAAAAACGCCAAGGGACAAAUCAAAAAUGGAAGCAUCAACGUCCCAGUUAUUUAUGAGGGGAAACCAUUUUGCCGUGAGGAGGUGGUAAAUGGAUCUUUUUGGCCGAAUACCCCGGCUGGUGACACGGUGAUUAACAGAACAUGUCCGGCGGGCCGGGUCGGCUUCAGCUCACGCACUUGUGAAGGCAGGAAAUGGCAGCAGGUGUACCACUCCUGCGUCAACGAAGAGCUGAACAAAGUUGUAAAUGCAGCAGAUGUGAGUGUUGAGUUACAGCUUGUGACCUGGUUUCCACGGAUCAGGAGGAAUUAAUGACUUUUUUGUCAAAAGUGGCCGUAAACAUUGACAGAAGAAA